RNAcentral lists this ribosomal RNA (227 nucleotides) under uncultured bacterium. RNAcentral describes it as "partial 16S ribosomal RNA". It matches the Rfam family "Bacterial small subunit ribosomal RNA", at positions 107 to 334 of the family's 1533-position model. The record is from RNAcentral.
GGAGUAACGCGUGGAUAACCUGCCUCACACAGGGGGAUAACAGUUAGAAAUGACUGCUAAUACCGCAUAAGCGCACGGUACCGCAUGGUACAGUGUGAAAAGCUCCGGUGGUGUGAGAUGGAUCCGCGUCUGAUUAGGUAGUUGGUGAGGUAACGGCCCACCAAGCCGACGAUCAGUAGCCGACCUGAGAGGGUGACCGGCCACAUUGGGACUGAGACACGGCCCAA